This 784-nucleotide long non-coding RNA is filed under the name Felis catus (domestic cat). RNAcentral describes it as "lncRNA (ENSFCAG00000042474.2)". Lineage: Eukaryota; Metazoa; Chordata; Mammalia; Carnivora; Felidae. The record is from RNAcentral.
CUUUCACAGGCCUGCUCUCCCUUUCCACUCCUACUUGGAUGUUCUCAUACUUCUUACACUCCACCACCCUUUUCUGGAGCUCUUCUGAAAUCUUACCAUCUUGCAUCAGAUGCUUCAAGAGCUGAUAACCAGCCACAGACCAGGGACUAUAACCCGGGUGACCGAGCAGGGACUUUGGGAUCAUCAAGCCAUUUCAAGCUCUCCAUUCACUCAUUACAUGACCUUGGACAUCCAACAACUAUUGGACCCAAUGGACUGUGCUUUCAUGACAAACAUUCCUGCAAAGGCCUGGAUACAAAUUAAUGUUGGGACGUUGAUGCUUCUGCCCAUCAGAAAGAAAGUAUAAAAUCUCAAAAGAGUGCACAAAGGAGCCAUAAAGAUUAUUUGGAACGACCCUUUCAUUUUAUGGAUGAGAAAGGUUGAGUCAAACAUCAUGGUGCCACUGGAUGGCAGAGGCAAGGCUGAGACAAAGGUCUCCUAUCCCUGUCCUAAAACUGUUUGCACUAAUAUGUUAUUCCUGGAUAUAUAAUUUUUUUUUAAUUUGAACUUUGGUUGGUAAGAAAACUUGAUUUAACCACCUUUCCUGGUUAAUGGAGGUCUCACCUUACCACACUCCAACCUCACAGUCGGUCAUUAGCAGGCUGCAGAAAGAGCAGCCUUCAAGGGCAGGAAUGAGUCAUGGUGAUAAACUGUGCUUAGUAGAACAAGUACCCAAGCCUGUGUCCCUACUAUCCCUCUCAGCGAUAUUAGACAAGCAAUAAAACCUUAAUUUUCCCUUAAUUCA